AACCCACUAUCCUAUUGUGAAUUCUUUUUGAGUGCCGGAAUUACGGCUUGGGUUGCUUCACAACAAGGAAUGCUGAGCGUCGAUCAGAUGCCCAGUGAUCUACAGUGAGGUUAUUCGUCUUGCUUCUCCGACUGAAUGCAUCAAAUAAACUGCUAAAGCGGCUUCUUUUUUCUUCUUCUUCUUCUGUUGGUUUUUUUUUAUGGUACGAAUGGGCGUGUUAUAGCUUUCUCGCUCACUCUCUUGGGUACUUGUUGGCAGUCGUAAAUAAGGCAGACGAUAAUACCGUUCGACUGCCAACUCACGAACACGGCACGACUUGUUAGUGGUCAAUGAUCUGGCAGUGGACCAUUGAUGCUGGGAAUAGCAGUGGCUGGACCAGUGAUCGGCCGAGUCACAUUCUAUCGUCCCCGGGCCGCCAGUGGAGCGGCUCCAUGUAAACCAUCCAAGUGGUCGAUUACCGAGCCCAACGAGUCGUUGGGUGCCGAUUGCGUCUCCGCCAUGGCCAGUCAGUCGUCUCUCUCUUCUGCCAGUGCUCGCUCCACUUCUCCCGAUCCGUGUGUGGUUUCUGAGUCGUCAUCAAUCAAAAGGGCGAGGAACACAAUAGGAAAGCCUCCCUCGCAAUCUCCCUCACAUGAUGUUUUUCGCUUAUUUAAGCUCCCCCAGGGAGAUGAGAUGGGGAGGUCCCUCAUCGUGCUACUGCUCUUUCCGUUGCUCUCCAUACGAAAUGUCCCCUCUCUUGUGCUGCCCCUGCAGCACCCUCGUCUCUCCCCGCCUGCCGUCGCCCUCUUGGGCAACACUGCCGAGAAUUUCUAUCACCAGAGUGCAGAGAUAUGUUGGUCCAAGCAUGAACAGUGAUUGCCUCAAGGUUGUACCUCUCCGCAGCAAGCAUCAACUUCACUGGAGUUUCAUUGGAGGGUCGAGAAUCCAACACGAGCCGAGGGGUUCAAGGAUUGUUCGUCGUCAAAGAGGGUUUCGCCCGUCAGCUUCUUGGCUUACAAGUUCACAGAUUGCUAGCAAUGCUUUCACUUGGGGCACGGUUGCUGUUCUUCCUUUCUACACUUUGAUGGUACUGGCUCCUAAAGCUUCAUUUACUAGAAGAACCAUGGAGAGCAGUGUGCCAUACAUUGCUCUUGGAGUUCUAUAUGCAUACCUUCUGUAUCUGUCAUGGACUCCUGACACAUUUAGAAUGAUGUUUGCUAGUAAAUACUGGCUGCCAGAGUUAGCUGGAAUAGCAAAAAUGUUCACCAAUGAAUUGACGGUGGCUUCAGCAUGGAUUCACUUAUUGGCUGUAGACCUUUUCGCUGCAAGGCAGGUAUUCCACGACGGUUUAAAGAAAAAUGUUGAGACCCGACACUCAGUUUCUUUGUGCCUACUCUUCUGUCCGAUGGGAAUUUUUUCUCACUGCAUCACCAUGCUGCUUGCCCAGAUGGCCAAUCGGUCGCAUUGAUGCUUAACGGCAGAAAAGUGCCAGCUUGAUCUCCAAUUUUUUCUGCUUCUGAGAAGGAGAGAGAACAGAAACCAAGAUAAUCCUCUCCUGUCACAUUCAUUUAGUGUCUGAUAUGUCAAUAUGGAUCAUCAAGUGAAUAUGUUUAUCAUCUGAGAAACUCUGGUGGAGCUCCUCCAUUCUCAUAAGAUAUCAUCCUCAGCUUCAGAGAUCAAAGGAACAGGUGAUGUGUUCAUCAAAUUUUACUACAUUUGUGUCCUGUGAGGUACAUAUUUAACCUCCUCUUUAAGUUCUAUCUGAAACUUCUUAUCCACACUUUCUUUUACAUGGCUAAUUAGCGCUAACAUAUCUUGCGAGGUCGAGCCAUUGAAGUUGACGAAGAAAUUUGCAUGAACGUUGGAAACCUUCGCACCUCCCACGGCGAAACCUUUGAGUCCUGCCAACUCAAUCAGCCUUCCCGCUGACAUUUCUGCACCCGAAGGGUUCCGAAACACCGAUCCAGCACUACGUUCUCCGAUCGGUUGAGUUCUUCUACGCCUACAGUUUGACAUUUGGAACUGGAACGCCCUCUGACGCUCUGUUGCCGCGGUGCUGGGCGUCAAUCGAAACGUGACCGCUACGAUCGCAGCUAAAUCCUUCAUGUCUUGGAACGCAGACCAACGAUACCCGAACGCCAGCUCCGACCUCCUCAGCACCUGCAACUCUCCGUCCAUCGUCACGAUCUCCACACUGUCCACCACGUCUCCCGUCUCCUGUCGCAGGAUGAUUGGAUUAGGCUCGUUUCGGAGAUGGGUCAUUUCGUCGAACAACAGAGGCUCAAGAAUCUCGAUGAAGGGUCGAUCACCUGGCAGUCGGCACCGGCAUUCGUGAACACGGCUCCGCCAACUGUUCCCGGAAUGCCGCCGGCGAAUUCAAGGCCUGAGAAACCCUCGGCGGAGCAUCGCACUCCGAGCCGGUUGAAGUGGAACCCGCUUCCGACCCUGUAAACACCCGGUUCUGUCACCUCGAGCUGGUCCACCCGGUUGAGCAUGACGAAGCCGUCGAAGCCGCGGUCGUCGAAGAGGCAAUUAGAGCCUCUGCCGAGGACCAGGAACGGAAUGCACCUCUCCCUGCAGUACCUGCAAGAGGGGGAAAAGUGAGUUCUCGACGAGCCACCCACCGCCCUGCACAUCCUGUUCGAUGAAAUGUCCACUCACCGAACGGCGGCGACGAGCUGGGAAGCUCGCGAGGUUCGGAGGAAGUAGCGGCAUGGGCCGCCGAUGCCCCAGCUGCUGAGCUCCCUUAGGCACUUGCGAUCGCAAAGGAUGCAGUUCUCGAUGAGCGGUUGGCCUUGUCGAUGACCGAGAACCACCAAAGAGUGUGACUUCUUGCGGUGGGGAGACGGUUCUCCACCGGAGGGACAAGUGAGGAAGUGGUGAUGGUGGGAGACGGAAGAAGGGGUUGGAACGCGAGAAGAGCCACAGGGGUUGGUCUUAAAGGUGGGCGAUGAGAAGGGAGACGGUAACGCCAUGCUUCUCAACCUCUCGAAGUGUCUUUGAAGCCUAAUAUCAAAUAGUAGACCCAAUAACAUGGGCUUUGGGCGCUCAUCUAUGAUGCCAAGGAUAUCAAAUGCCUUCAUUUAUACUUGGAAUUCCGUGGUUUCAACAAGAAA
RNA transcript from Musa acuminata AAA Group (dessert banana), 3095 nucleotides. It is a transcript of the gene named protein ABA DEFICIENT 4, chloroplastic-like, with no coding region annotated. The record is from RefSeq and is a predicted model, not a curated record. Lineage: Eukaryota; Viridiplantae; Streptophyta; Magnoliopsida; Zingiberales; Musaceae. The transcript is spliced from 9 exons.